GCCCGUGCUGGGGACCUGGGGAAAGAGUGGAUCAAAUCGCCACUGCCCACCUGGACUUGGAGAUGAGCGGUACUGUUGACAGAAGACAUUACCAUGUGCAAGUUGAGGAUGCUGGAGGUGGCUAGGAGAGGACCAGAGGCUGCCACAGUCCAAGAUCUGUGUAAAUGUUCAAAAGAUGUCAUCCCUGCAGAAGUCCAAAUGCACCAAAAGACACAGUGAGCGAGUGUUCUGACGUCCCAGGCCCCCUCUGCCAGGAGGGCUGCUGAAGUUUCCUACCCACUAGUCUACGGAUGCAGAAGCCUCAAGAGAUUUUAGAAAAGAAUGAGAUUCUCUCUCACCAUGGGAUGUUGGUGUGCAGGCUUCAACGUGAUCCUCUCAUCUCACUGGAGAAGUGCAACUGGCCAAAUGCAGGGAGUCCUCUACAUACAAACCUUCAAGUUGCAAACUUUAAGAGAUGCAAACGUGCAUUCAUAUGUCCAAUCAUGGUCCCAACCUGCAGGCUGUGCUCACCUGCUCUCCGUCUGUCCCCAGUGUGGCUGCUUGUAGCUCGGUGGCUGCUUGUAGCUUGGCAACUGCAAAGUUUUUCUCUGUGCUUGAGCUGAGGUCAGCUGCUGCAAAUGCACCUGGGAGGCUGCCGAUGCUGAUAGGGGAGAGAUGAGGUCUCACCAAGUUGCCUGGGCUGGUCUAUGGG
Carlito syrichta (Philippine tarsier) is the source of this 691-nucleotide long non-coding RNA. RefSeq lists it as uncharacterized. The record is from RefSeq and is a predicted model, not a curated record. The transcript has 4 exons. Lineage: Eukaryota; Metazoa; Chordata; Mammalia; Primates; Tarsiidae.